AGAGUUUGAUCCUGGCUCAGGAUGAACGCUGGCGGCGUGCCUAACACAUGCAAGUCGAGCGAUUCUCUUCGGAGAAGAGCGGCGGACGGGUGAGUAACGCGUGGGUAACCUGCCCUGUACACACGGAUAACAUACCGAAAGGUAUGCUAAUACGGGAUAAUAUAUAAGAGUCGCAUGACUUUUAUAUCAAAGAUUUUUCGGUACAGGAUGGACCCGCGUCUGAUUAGCUUGUUGGCGGGGUAACGGCCCACCAAGGCGACGAUCAGUAGCCGACCUGAGAGGGUGAUCGGCCACAUUGGAACUGAGACACGGUCCAAACUCCUACGGGAGGCAGCAGUGGGGAAUAUUGCACAAUGGGCGCAAGCCUGAUGCAGCAACGCCGCGUGAGCGAUGAAGGCCUUCGGGUCGUAAAGCUCUGUCCUCAAGGAAGAUAAUGACGGUACUUGAGGAGGAAGCCCCGGCUAACUACGUGCCAGCAGCCGCGGUAAUACGUAGGGGGCUAGCGUUAUCCGGAUUUACUGGGCGUAAAGGGUGCGUAGGCGGUCUUUCAAGUCAGGAGUUAAAGGCUACGGCUCAACCGUAGUAAGCUCCUGAUACUGUCUGACUUGAGUGCAGGAGAGGAAAGCGGAAUUCCCAGUGUAGCGGUGAAAUGCGUAGAUAUUGGGAGGAACACCAGUAGCGAAGGCGGCUUUCUGGACUGUAACUGACGCUGAGGCACGAAAGCGUGGGGAGCAAACAGGAUUAGAUACCCUGGUAGUCCACGCUGUAAACGAUGAGUACUAGGUGUCGGAAGGUACCCCCUUCGGUGCCGCAGCUAAC
This 819-nucleotide ribosomal RNA is filed under the name uncultured bacterium. RNAcentral describes it as "bacterial SSU rRNA". It matches the Rfam family "Bacterial small subunit ribosomal RNA", at positions 8 to 856 of the family's 1533-position model. The record is from RNAcentral.